GCGACACUAGAUCAGUUGGUAGAGCGCAACCUUGCCAAGUUUGAGGUCACGAGUUCGAACCUCGUGUGUCGCUCCA
RNAcentral lists this transfer RNA (76 nucleotides) under Vibrio mimicus SX-4. RNAcentral's name for it is "tRNA-Gly". It matches the Rfam family "tRNA". Rfam says of the family: Transfer RNA (tRNA) molecules are approximately 80 nucleotides in length. Their secondary structure includes four short double-helical elements and three loops (D, anti-codon, and T loops). Further hydrogen bonds mediate the characteristic L-shaped molecular structure. tRNAs have two regions of fundamental functional importance: the anti-codon, which is responsible for specific mRNA codon recognition, and the 3' end, to which the tRNAs corresponding amino acid is attached (by aminoacyl-tRNA synthetases). tRNAs cope with the degeneracy of the genetic code in two manners: having more than one tRNA (with a specific anti-codon) for a particular amino acid; and 'wobble' base-pairing, i.e. permitting non-standard base-pairing at the 3rd anti-codon position. The record is from RNAcentral. Lineage: Bacteria; Pseudomonadati; Pseudomonadota; Gammaproteobacteria; Vibrionales; Vibrionaceae.